Molecule: ribosomal RNA, 482 nt
Filed under: uncultured bacterium
Lineage: Bacteria
Description: partial 16S ribosomal RNA
Rfam family: Bacterial small subunit ribosomal RNA
Source: RNAcentral
AUUGAACGCUGGCGGCAUGCCUUACACAUGCAAGUCGAACGGUAACGGGCCUUCGGGUGCCGACGAGUGGCGAACGGGUGAGUAAUACAUCGGAACGUGCCCGAUCGUGGGGGAUAACGAGGCGAAAGCUUUGCUAAUACCGCAUACGAUCUACGGAUGAAAGCAGGGGACCGCAAGGCCUUGCGCGGACGGAGCGGCCGAUGGCAGAUUAGGUAGUUGGUGGGAUAAAAGCUUACCAAGCCGACGAUCUGUAGCUGGUCUGAGAGGAUGAUCAGCCACACUAGGGGUGAGACACGGACCAGGCGCCGACGGGAGGCAGCAGAGGGGAAUUGUGGACAAUGGGCGCAAGCAUGAUACAGCCAUGUCGCGUGCAGGAUGAAGACCUUCGGUUCGUAAACUGCUCCUGUACGGAACGAACAGCUUUCUUGUAAGACAGGAGGGUCAUGACGGUACCGUAAAAAUAAGCACCGGCUAACUACGUG